CCUACGGGAGGCAGCAGUGGGGAAUCUUGCGCAAUGGGCGAAAGCCUGACGCAGCAACGCCGCGUGCGGGAAGAAGGCUUUCGGGCUGUAAACCGCUUUCAGCAGGAACGAAAAUGACGGUACCUGCAGAAGAAGGAGCGGCCAACUAUGUGCCAGCAGCCGCGGUGAUACAUAGGCUUCAAGCGUUGUCCGGAUUUAUUGGGCGUAAAGAGUUCGUAGGCGGUCGAGUAAGUCGGGUGUGAAAAUUCUGGGCUCAACCCAGAGACGCCACCCGAUACUGCUUAACUUGAGUUCGAUAGGGGAGUGGGGAAUUCCUAGUGUAGCGGUGAAAUGCGCAGAUAUUAGGAGGAACACCGGUGGCGAAGGCGCCACUCUGGAUCGAUACUGACGCUGAGGAACGAAAGCAUGGGUAGCAAACAGGAUUAGAUACCCUGGUAGUCCAUGCCGUAAACGGUGGGCACUAGGUGUGGGAUUCUAUUAACGAAUUCCGCGCCGUCGCUAACGCAUUAAGUGCCCCGCCUGGGGGAGGUACGGUCGCAGACUAAACUACAANAGAAUUAGACGGCGUGAGAGUGCCGAACGGACGACGACGAGGGAGGUAGG
RNAcentral lists this ribosomal RNA (603 nucleotides) under uncultured bacterium. RNAcentral describes it as "bacterial SSU rRNA". It matches the Rfam family "Bacterial small subunit ribosomal RNA", at positions 338 to 1363 of the family's 1533-position model. The record is from RNAcentral.